Molecule: long non-coding RNA, 824 nt
Organism: Dreissena polymorpha
Lineage: Eukaryota; Metazoa; Mollusca; Bivalvia; Myida; Dreissenidae
Exons: 2
Source: RefSeq, a predicted model, not a curated record
CGGUUAAAUUCAAACGGGAUGGAACAAAAGAAAAACAAAGGUUUGCAGUCUCACAAACAAUAAAAAAUUAACACAUCCAUUCGACCGUUAUUAAUAACUGAAGAGGGAAAAACAACAGCAAAGAAAAUGGGGAAACAAGUAUUUUGAGAAAGCCAAAGAAUAUAAAAUAAUUUCGAAGUGCCCAAGUGCAGUCUUGAAACGCAAAGUCAGCGAAAUAAGUUAAAAUAGAACAAAUUGAAUGAAAAGAAAGCGAAACACAGGGUAUAUUAACGCCGUUACGAAAAUGGAGUGACAACAACGUGAUUUAAUUACACCACCUGAUUACAGCAAUAUAAUGGCAUGGUCGCGUGCAAUUUGGUGUUUAAGGAAAUUAUUACCGGCAUCGCCAAGUCAGAGGACACAGUUAAUGGCUUCGUAUUUGAAAACAAAAUCGCCCACAGUACAAAAUCUUCGAGAUGUUUUUCAGUGCAACAGCGACGAAUCUCUAUCAACCAGUGUGCUUUCUGAUAUAAAAUCAGCAUUAAACAAAACAAAAAUAACGCAGAUCCGAUUAAAACAUUCAAAGUAGAAAUGUUUUAAUUCUGCAAUUAGUUUGUUUGCUACAAACUGUAAAAGCAAAUGUUAAAGUCUCUAUUCCCAAAAAUGAUCACGAACGUGUUUUGUCAUUGAUCGAAGAGUGCGAUGAAAAUUAUGCUACAUAGUAAUUCCUCAUGGCUAUGCUUUAUAGCAUAUACUAAUUAUACUCAUGACAUAAUUGAGUGUAAAGUUAACGAUAACUACAAAAAUGUAUAAAUAAAGUAUUUUAUUAAUACACUUUAGAAGAA